Molecule: long non-coding RNA, 832 nt
Filed under: Homo sapiens (human)
Lineage: Eukaryota; Metazoa; Chordata; Mammalia; Primates; Hominidae
Description: non-protein coding lnc-PARVA-3:1
Source: RNAcentral
AAGUUGUCUAAGUAUUCUAAGUAAAAGGCAAAUUUUGUCCGAUUAGGUUUUAAAAUUGUGAAGCCCAAUUAUAUGCUGCCUAUUAAAAAUGUACUUCAAAGCCGGGCGCAGUGGCUCAUGCCUGUAAUCUCAACACUUUGGGUGGCCGAAGUGGGCGGAUCACUUGAGAUCAGGAGUUAAAGACCAGCCUGGCCAACAUGGUUUACAUAUUCAUUUCUCUCUAAACUUAGCAUUCAGCACUGCAUAGAUGCCAGUUCAAUUUUUUGUUAAAUUGUUCAUAGGAACAAAUAAACUAACACCAACUUAUCCAAACACAUGUAUACCUAUGUAACAAACCUGCACAUUGUGCACAUAUACCCUAGAACUUAAAGUAUAAUUAAAAAAAAUUAUUCAAGAUCUGCAAAAUGGAAACUAAAACACUGCUAAGAGAAAUUAAAGAAAAUUUAAAUGUGUUUGGCAGUUCCCCCUUCGCUCUCUUUGUCUCCUGCCACCAUGUAAGUCAUGCCUUGCUUUCCCUUCACCUUCCACCAUGAUUGUAAGUUUCUGAGACCUCUUCAGCCAUGUGGAACUGUGUAUCAACUAAACCUCUUUCCUUUAUAAAUUACUCAGUCUUGGGUAGUUCUUUAUAGCAGUGUGAAAACAGACUAAUAACCUUACCUCAAACAUACACAAAAAUUAACUCUAAAAUUACCAUAAGUAUAACAAAGAGGCUAAAACUAUUAAACUUCUAAACAUUGAGAAAAUUUUUUCAAACUUAAGGUUAAAGACUUUGUGUGUGCGAUUUUCUUUUUUGUUAUUUUCUUUUCUGAAAGACACAAAAAAGCAUUAAGCA